GCCCCCCAGCCUCCGGGCCGCCCCCGGGCCCCCCAGCCUCCGGGCCGGGCCCUCACUGACCGGACCCUGGGAAGACUCUAAGCUUUUCGUAGAAAAUCGGGAGCCGGCCCAGUCCAGCUCCAGGAGUCUGCUCUGGGACGGACGAGGGCUCCAGGGGCCCAGGGGACUGACGAGGCGGCAGGGACACAUUUCGGGAAGGGAGCCCGCCGGGGAAUGAAGGCCCGGCCGGGAACGGGGCCCUUCCCCUUCCCCAGCUCAACCCGGCCAGGGGCAGCCCCGAUCUCGCGCUGGAAACCUCUCUGGGCAGGGCAGAGGGAGGGAGCGGAGCGGGAACGGGGCUGAGCUGCUCUGCACGAGCUCGGCCUCGGGUCCCGGAGCUCGGCCUCCUGUCCCGGGGCUCGGCCUCCUGUCUCAGCUGGCUUUAGGCGGUGCGGUGCGGGAAGGGGCAGAAAUGAGCUGCCUGCCCAGAUCUCGGAAGGGGACCGUGCGCGCCAAGGGGAAACGGGCCGGGUCAGGAGCGGCUGAGGCUGGACCUUGAGAUGCGCCCCCGAGGAGUGGGGCAGAGGCAGCCAGCAAACCCUCCCAUAAGCCACCAACAGCCCUCAGGGUCCUCCUGCGCGGCCCAAAGUGCUCUGUGUGGGCCGUGGGGAUAUGGAGCCCGAGGAGAACUCCUUUCUCCGGGUCGGGCUCCAAGGAAUGGAGGUCCAGUUCCUAACUGGGAGACAGUCCUCGCUUCCCAGCCUCUCUUCUCCAGCCUCCAGUCCAUCUCCCCCAGGGCCACCCACACUCAGCUCUGCUCAGGAAGCUGUGGCCCCUGCGCCUCCCGGGAGGACACAAACACAGCCUUUGGGGAUUUGGGGCCUUUCCCAGGCCAAGGCGGCAGAUCUGACCAGGUUUAUGCUCUCCUUGUAUUACACACUGACUGAACUACUCGCUGUUUCCUGCACAAGCUACCCUGCUGCCCACCUCAGGGUCUCAGUCCAGGCUGGCCCCAAGUCCUCCCCCAGCUCCCCCGAAGACUCAGCUGGGGGGCCCCUUCCCACAGGUGGCCCUUCCUGGGCCCUCCCGGACCCCCAGGCGUGGGAACUUCCCCCUCCUGGAUGCUUAUUUAUAUUACUUAUGAGGGCCCAAGCUGCUCCUUCAGCCACAACCAUCCUCAACACAACAGCUAGCUGCUAUUGCCGGAGCACUUUGAAGUGCUCCUUUACAAUCAUUCUUGACAUGAUCUUCCCAAGAAGCCUUCCAGGAAAGUGCUAUCACGUCAUGUUUUACAGAUGUAGAAACUGAGGCAGAGACAUGUUAAGUGAUUUCCCCAGGAUCAAAUACUAUUAAGUGAUUAAGACUAUUAUUGGAACCCCUACUCUCUGGGGUCUAGCACUCUAUGCCCUGCAACACUUUGAUGUCCCCUGGAGGGUAAGCUCCCUGAAGUCAAGAACUGUUUUUGUUGUUGUUGUUAUAUUUUUGUUUUGUUUUUAUUUAGUUUUGCUCUUUGUUUGCUUAGCCCCUAGAGUAAGAGCUGUACAUAGGUGGUACUUAAUAUAUGCUCCUUCCAGAUAUUCAUGGACAUGUAGGGGGCCCAGGGGCUAGAAUGCCCCGUCUGGAGUCAGGAAAAUCUAAAUUCAAAUCCAGCCUCAGACAAUAGCUGUGUGAUCCUGGGACUGGACCUCCUGAGCAAGGCUGGACCCUUCCCCUCCCCACAGUCUCCAUCCCUAGGGAAGAUCCCUGGCCUCAAUGCCUCAAGCCAGUGAAGAGGACCAGGAAGAAAAGGCAGGAGCUCUGUAAAAUACCUCAGAUCUGCAGGAUGUGAUGGUGAUAGAAGGCCCAGGGCAGAGCCUUUGCAUCCACCCAGAGAGAAGCAGCGGGUGACGCAGCACAGGAGACAGAGAAUGGGCAGUGGGCACGAGGAUGACCCCAAGAGCACAGGAACCGGCCCGCAGCGAGCCUCCUCUGGGGUCCUCACGUACAACACUGUAAAGUUGGCCAUUUCCCCACUCACACAUUCCCUCUUCUUCUCCUGGUGGCUUCUCUGACCUUCAAGUGUCACCAAACCCCACUUUCUGCAGGAAACCUUUCCCGGCCUCCUUCAGCAGGUUACUCUGUGUUCUGUCUGCUGUCUCCCCUGUGAGACUGCAAGCUCACUGAGGGCAGGAACCCUGCUUAGUCUCUGUCUUCCCGUCGCCAGCAAGCACGGGGCCUGCCACAAAACUGGUCCUUAAUAAACGCUUACUGACUUCAGCUGA
Sarcophilus harrisii (Tasmanian devil) is the source of this 2240-nucleotide long non-coding RNA. RefSeq lists it as uncharacterized. The transcript is spliced from 3 exons. The record is from RefSeq and is a predicted model, not a curated record. NCBI's taxonomy places the organism in Eukaryota, Metazoa, Chordata, Mammalia, Dasyuromorphia, Dasyuridae.